This 21-nucleotide non-coding RNA is filed under the name Caenorhabditis elegans. The record is from RNAcentral. Lineage: Eukaryota; Metazoa; Nematoda; Chromadorea; Rhabditida; Rhabditidae.
UUUUUCACAGAUUAAACCAAA